RNAcentral lists this long non-coding RNA (695 nucleotides) under Glycine max (soybean). RNAcentral describes it as "long non-coding RNA (GMAX_LNC002448)". The record is from RNAcentral. Lineage: Eukaryota; Viridiplantae; Streptophyta; Magnoliopsida; Fabales; Fabaceae.
GCAUUACUAUUUUGUCAAGUAUUACAAAAGUCAUCUCGAUUUUGUCGAAGUAUUACCGAAGUCAUCUGAAUAGGAUACUCGAACUUCUUAUAUUAUACUAUCUCCACAACUUUGGUAUGCUUGCAAAGGAUUCAACAAGAUGAUUGAAAAAUAAAAUGUUUUUAGUAGUCACAUUUUUUCUCUCUCUAUAACGGUGUUGUGCGCGGUGGCGGCAAGAGAGGCGACCACCAUGAGAAACCAAUCGAGGUAGUCGGAGCAGACGAAGAGGCGGGAGAUAAAAACAGCGGCAAGUGACCCCAAUGCUACUCCGACCCUGACUCUUGCUUCAUCGCCUGGGAUCCGCAAUUGGUUUGACUCCCUCUCUGCUACGCCACUGCAACAACCGUCAUCCUACAAAGACAAAAGCGACGGUGAAUCUUGCAAGCUGAGAAACCAAUUGCAGAUUAGGGGGAGGGGAGGUGGCCGUAAAUAUGUUAUGAUUUUUUUGUUUGUUGGUCAGAUGUAGAUCUUCUGUCCAUGAAGGUUAGAUCUGGCUGGGGAGAUGUGGGCGCGAAGGCGGUUUUCGAGGGCAUAACAUUCAGACUGAUGGGGCACAAGUGCGAGAGGUGAAGGACUCAAGUGGAGAUUUUUGUGCAGAAGACAGAGAUGCUCCGUUUGGCAGCGCUUAGAGGGGAUUUAGGGUUAGGCUUAAUCAG